AUGGCAGUGUCUGGAGGAAUGUGGCUGCUAAUGGAAACGGAUGAACCUAAGAAAAGGGUUACCCAGUGGAGAAGUGAACUGUGGUCUUGCCUGGCUAUGGACUUUGGUGGGGCUAGUGCCGCCCAGCAAGGGCUGACUGACAGCUGCCAAGCUGGAGGCGUUCCCACAGCUGCGCAGAAUUUAGCGCAGCGCGCAGCUGUUGCCUGCUGCUCUCCAGGCUGUUAACCCCUUCAAAUACACCUUCCGUGUCCGCAGCCCUCAUCCUCCCAUACAGACUCUGCAGGCACCCCAGCCUGCGGUCCAUGUGCAGGGGCAGGAGCCACUGACUGCCUCCAUGCUGGCUGCAGCAUCACCUCAAGGACCAGAAGCAGAUGCUGGGAGAGCGCUUGUUCCCACUCAUCCAAACAAUGCAUUCAAACCUGGCUGGGAAGAUCACGGGAAUGCUGCUGGAGAUCGACAACUCUGAGCUGCCGCAUAUGUUACAGUCCCCCGAGUCUCUCCACUCCAAGGUGGAUGAAGCUGUAGCAGUUCUACAGGCUCAUGAUGCCAAGAAAGAAGCUUCCCCGAAGGUGGGCGCUGUUGCUGCUGCUACCUCUUAGACAAGGAAAAAUCGAUUCAAAAGCCAAAUAACCCCUCAUGGAAUUCAGCUUAAGGUUUGAAGACUUCCUAGCUUGUCCUAUGGACCUCAACACCAAGAACUACAAAUUGCAAAUUUAAUAGGUCAUUUUGUAUUGAAAGGUCAAUUAUGAAGCGCCUAGAAUUUUUCAAUGAUACGAAUAUAUUCUCUGGGUUCUGCUGUGGCGCAGUGUUAACUUUUUUUUUCUAUUAUGGGUUUUGGUUUUUUCCCCCAGAAAUUGG
Molecule: non-coding RNA, 858 nt
Organism: Macaca mulatta (Rhesus monkey)
Lineage: Eukaryota; Metazoa; Chordata; Mammalia; Primates; Cercopithecidae
Source: RefSeq, a predicted model, not a curated record